This 405-nucleotide unclassified non-coding RNA is filed under the name soil metagenome. RNAcentral's name for it is "partial contains 5.8S ribosomal RNA, internal transcribed spacer 2, and large subunit ribosomal RNA". The stretch from base 1 to 121 matches the Rfam family "5.8S ribosomal RNA", at positions 35 to 154 of the family's 154-position model. The record is from RNAcentral.
GAUGAAGAACGUAGCGAAAUGCGAUAAGUAAUGUGAAUUGCAGAAUUCAGUGAAUCAUCGAAUCUUUGAACGCACCUUGCGCCCUUUGGCCAUUCCGAAGGGCAUGCCUGUUUGAGUAUCAUGAACACCUCAACUCUUUAUGGUUUUCCAUGAUGAGCUUGGACUCUGGGGGUUUUGCUGGCUCACAGUCGGCUCCUCUAAAAUGAAUCAGCUUACCAGUGUUUGGUGGGCAUCAUGGGUGUGAUAACUAUCUACGCUUGUGGUUUUUCCACCAGGUAACCUUCAGCAGUGGAGGUUCGCUGGAGCUCAUAGAUGUCUCUCCUCAGUGAGGACAGCCCUUUGAAUGUUUGAUCUCAAAUCAGGUAGGACUACCCGCUGAACUUAAGCAUAUCAAUAAGCGGAGGA